RNAcentral lists this ribosomal RNA (465 nucleotides) under uncultured bacterium. RNAcentral describes it as "partial 16S ribosomal RNA". It matches the Rfam family "Bacterial small subunit ribosomal RNA", at positions 28 to 507 of the family's 1533-position model. The record is from RNAcentral.
GACGAACGCUGGCGGCGUGCUUAGCACAUGCAAGUCGAACGGUAAGGCCCCUUCGGGGGUACACGAGUGGCGAACGGGUGAGUAACACGUGAGCAACCUGCCCUUGACUCUGGAAUAACAGUUGGAAACAGCUGCUAAUACUGGAUAUUCAUCGUCUCCUUCCUGGGGGGUGGUGGAAAGCUCCGGCGGUCAGGGAUGGGCUCGCGGCCUAUCAGCUUGUUGGUGAGGUAAUGGCUCACCAAGGCUUCGACGGGUAGCCGGCCUGAGAGGGCGACCGGCCACACUGGGACUGAGAUACGGCCCAGACUCCUACGGGAGGCAGCAGUGGGGAAUAUUGCACAAUGGGCGCAAGCCUGAUGCAGCAACGCCGCGUGCGGGAUGACGGCCUUCGGGUUGUAAACCGCUUUCAGUAGGGACGAAGGGUGACUGACGGUACCUACAGAAGAAGGACCGGCUAACUACGUG